AAAAAAUCCGCCAUCACAGAGGCACAAGCACUCGCGUGCAUAUAAAUUGUGCAUCCAGAGACAGACACGCACACAGGCACGAGGCAUCAAAGAGGCACCUACCCUCGUCACGCUUUUACGCAAGGCGCCCGAGAUUGAUUUCCAGCGGUUCCAGGCUGGACCGUUUCCGGGUCACGCUCGCGUGUGCCUGUGCGUGUGCGCAUUCUUUCGCUUUUCGAUAUUCUUAUUUUUGCGUUGCUUUCGGCUACAGUCGUGGUGCGCGGUACAGAGCGGGCGCUGGCGCUGGUGCACGCGGAGGCACAAUAGAGUCCCGCACAAACCCCUCACACGCACACCGGCAUGCCUAUGUGUGCGCGUGAUCCAUCUGCGAGACUCGCGCCAACCUAAGACUCUGGUAGCGUGCAUGUGUAUGCUUUGGCUUGUGUGGUUGUGCUUGUGUACCCGUGUGCGCAGAGGCGUUCGCUCUUCUGCUUUGUGUUGUGACCGUGGGUGGCAAUCGCGAGAGGCGAUCGACAGCGCGCCUCAUCGCUCGCUGUCCCUUUUGCUACCAGCCUCCGUUGUACCUGGCGAGGCCGCCCUUGAAACCGUUUCGCCCUCUCUUCGGAGAAGCGAACGCACGCCCAAGAAAACGAAAAAGCCAUGAACUCUAGGAAGGAUCCGAACGUCGCCGCUGCCGCCGCGGAACCGGAGUCGCCCACCCAAGCAUCGUCGUCUUCGUCCUCCAUGUGGGACAUGGGUGGAAGAGGCGGCGGCGCCGCACCUGCGGCUGCCGCGGACCUCUUCAGCGCCGCUCUCCAGAGACUAGGAAACACGCCUGGUCCUACUGCCGCCCCCGGCGCGACGGAGGUCGUCCCCUCGUCCUCCUCGGCUUCAGCCCAGAACCGCGAAUGCGACAGCGACGGCUUUCUGAACAGCGACGAGGACAACAGCGACGAGGGAGACGAACAGAGGGAAGAGGCUAGCGACUCCAGCGCGUCGUCGUUGUCCUCCUCGGACGGCAUGUGGGGUACUUUCAAUGGCGAUGAAGCGAGGCUGCCAUUGUGCGAUGACGACGACGACCAUGAAGCGAGCUCUUCUGGCGAUGGAGGCGAGGACGGCGUUCUCUUUGUUCCAGACCCCGUUUUCGAUCUUACCUCAUUGCAGCAGAAGGCGGUGAUGCCGUGCCUGACGCAAGACCAGCUCCCUCUUGGAGCGACAGUGUGGGUGGUUGACGAGGACGACGUGGCCACCCAGCUGACCUGUAAUUUUAGUGCUUCGUACCCGCCCGUCUGCAACGGUCGGCUAAGCGGCGAGGUGGUGCGGCACACCGGCCACAUGACGCUCGUCCGCUUUCGAAGUAAGGCGUCGGACUUGUACUUCACGCUGUGCCUGCCCACGUCGUGUCUGUCGCUGCAGCCAAUCGAGCCGUACGAUAGUGUGCCGCAUCACGACGACUCCUACGGAAUCGGCUCCGGCGCGUACGGCAUGCUUGGGCCUCGAGCUGCCUGUCGCGGAGGCGCGGAAACGUGCGGGAGCGACGGCUUCGUGGGCCACUGCCUCUUUGAAGCGAUGCCGGCGUAUGACUUUGAGAAGGUGCGAGGCACGACACUGGAAAAGGCACAGGAGGCAUUCUUUGGUGGCAUCUUCGAAAAAGCACUAACCUCCGUAAACGAGUACAUCGACGCCCAGCCCACGUCACCGACCGCCAGCGCAAGCACUGAAAAAGAUUCAAGCGUUAGCCUCGCCACUUCCGGCGACGCACCCCCAAAGGCGGCUGCCCUCGUCGACGCCCUAAUCCUGCGCUCGCGCAUCUUCGUCUUUCUCGAGCGCUACCACGAAGCCCUUGUCGAUGCGCAGCGGUGCGUUCAGUUAGAGCCGCGAUGGGUGCGCGGGUAUUUGAGCGUGGCGCGCGCGCACUGCGGUCUCGGUCAGUUCAGCGAGGCCGCCGCAGCCACCGCGCACGCGUGCAUCAUUCUGCCCUACAGUUUGGAGCUAGAGCGGAUUCGGGAGUUGAACAACCACAUGCACUACCUUCAGUCGCAGCUGCGGGCCGAAAAGGCGAGCUGCUACUUGGUUCUAGACUGCUAUUAUCGCAAGCGGCUUUGCAUCAACGCUUCUGUGACAGCGGAGACGCUGCUGUGCACUGAGGCCACGCCGAUCGUCGCAACGCACUCGGUAUUUGUAGCCAAGGACCCGCCACACCGCUGCCCCGUCUGCUUUCGCGUCUUCAGCGCGGCUGAGCAACCGGGCAGUGUCGCCGCGGACCCUUCAUCCGCGGCGCUGACCCCGGAAGCUGCGAACACCCCACCCACCAAUGAUAUCUCACCCCCGCUCUCCUCGCCGGGGGGUACAGACAUUGGCGACGACGUUGAGUACUGCAGCACCGAGUGCACACAGCGAGCAAGUCUUUACCGGCCGCUGGAGUUGAAGCAUCGCGCGCCGCUGGCGCAGGUGCGGUCGCUGAUCCUCUCUAAAGGCGCCGUCACGCUCAACGUGCUGCCGCUCGAGAUGGCCGCCAUGACGGUGCGCCUCUUCCUCAUGGUGGUCACGAUUCAUCGCCGUCUGUCCGCCAAGCGGCGAAUUGAGGACUCGAGCCGACGGAAUCUCGACGGUGAGGCGCCGUGUUCCUGCCACGACAAGAUGCGCACAUGGCCUGAUGUGGACGCACAUGUGAGCAGCGCACUGGCCAGCUCGCAGUGCCCCUCGCCUUCGCCGCCUCUGCAAGUCGAGACGUCCCUGCGGCGGCUCGGCGUCUACCCGCUCUGCACGGAGCCCAUCGCGCACAACAAACUGGACGAGCUGAAGAUUGUGUACGACGCGCUUACGGCGGACUUCAAGGCGGAAGACCGCGCCAUCUUUUCCUACGAAGUCUUGUCACAGCUGUACGCCUAUGUCUCCGCGUACUUCACCCCCGUAGACUUGAACUCGCUCCAGCCGCCGGACUCGCCAGGAGGCACCGCCUCGCAUCAGACCGUCUUUUACCUGCCUCACUACGUGGGCUGUAUCGAGACGGCUAAGGUCAUAUCCUACACGGCGGCUUCACGACGCCGGCGGUCGAGCGAGGAGUCGGCGCACGCCGAGGACGAUCUGCUUGCCUCCCGCGUAACGGUGAGACCUACAAUGAGUGAGAUGGCCGUGCCGAGCAGUAGGCAGAGCAGCUCCACGCACAGCCACGCGAGCAGUACCAGCACUGCCACCGGUGACGCCAAUGAUCGCGCAGCGGCAAGUAGUAGCGACGCGAAUUGUAUUGUGCGCAUGGCCCCGCCUCCAGCGUUGCUAGAGCUGGUCACGGUGGUCCCAGUGAACCGAGAGGGAAAGCUGCGUUGCGUCCCCGUGACGAUCGCACUUGACUCCGAUGUGGCGUAGAGACGCGCUCAGCGAUGUAGGGGGGGGGAGGCCCUGCGCGUGUAUGCUGAGGGAGAGUGGCGGCUGCAACGAAAUACAGCCACGGGAAGAGAGACGAGUGGGGAGUGGGGAGGGAGGGAUAUAGAGAAGGAGCUUGGAUGUAGGAAGGAAUGAAGGCUGAGCAGAGGCAGCUGUAUCGCUCCGCAGAUCGGCAACAAAGACACAAGUGGCGAAGAUAGUAUGCGAAACCCGGCAGCUCACACACGCGUGCGCAUGGUUCCUCUCCUCGCAUAGCCGUCAAAACACCGGUUAUACACGCGGGCGCUACUCUACUGCGCCCCUGUUUUCUCCUUGUUCUGCUUGUCCAACCACUCCCUCUUCGCCUGCCUCUUCAUGUGCAGCACCUCUGACGACUGCCUCCCUUCUCUUUUCAUGAUCGCAUCGUCUCUCCUCGUCCCCUGUGCAGCUGUUGAAGGUGCUCAUUUUCGAUGCUUUCCUCGGCACGUUGCAGUGCCAUUGUGUUUUCCCGUUUCUUCUCCGUUGUUGUUGUAUGUGCCUCCCUUCUUGCCGCUGUUUUUUUUUUUUUUGCUUUAUUGCUUUCCACUUUACCUUUUUUAAAGAUGUCCAGCUCCUCUGUAUGGCCUAUCCCACUGCCGCCACCAUCUCCUCCUUUUUUUUACCCGUUUCCUUUCUUUCACGCUUCUUUGUUCACCUUGUUAUCCAAAUAUCGGCCUACCGUGUACCUCAAUCGCCAUUUUCAUCACCAUUACAAUUAUCAUACCUUCUCUCUCCCCUCUCCUCCUCCUACUCCGCGCGCUUGCUUGCUUGCUUGCUUGCUUUCUCUUUCCCUUUCAUAUGUACUGCCUUCUCUGUCGCUGUUUGUGUGUUCGUGUGUGUGUGUGUGUUCUGCGGUAACAUUCUGUAAGAGCGUGGUGAGCGAUCAGGAUGUGGGCGAUGCAGUCCGAUGGUGUCCGUUGUUUUUUUUUUUUCUUUCUGCGCCCCCCUUCUUCGUCGAUGUUGUGUCGCUUCCUCCGCCUCGCUUGCUUCCUCAUGUUUCAUCACAUUUUCCUUCAUUAUAGUCGUGUGUCGAAAACUAGUUGUCUCUUUGUUUUCGUUUGUUUUUGGGUAUUUUCAUGUUGUUGUGUGCGGGCGUUUUCUUUGCUUGUUCAUCUCGUGUUGCGUCGAACCCCCGCCUCCCUCUCUUCCCCCUCAUUUCGACAUGCGAUUAGCCUCUCACUGUCUACGCCCACUUUCCCGUGUAUGUCGCUACGCUUUUUGGCACUGGUACAUGUUGGUUUUCUCUCUCCAGUUUUUUCCUUUUCAUGUGUUGUGACCCGUGUGUAUGAGGUGCGCUGACUCUUCAUGAAUUCCAUGUCCUUCCCGUUUCUGUGAUGUUUCCGUGUUUCCUUUAGUGUUGUUGCAACUCCUGCGCCUUUUUUCGCGAUUUUCUUUUGCUCCCUCCACCCCCCCCCUCUCUCUCGCUGUGCGUGUUUGAGUGCUCUCACCCCUCUUCGUGUUGUGGUGUGGCUCUUGUUUUUCUUUUUUCGUUUUCCUUUUGGUCUCUCCAUCUCUACCCCUUUUGCAUGCUCAGUGUUUUGGCUAGCACCGUCUCAGCUGUGUCGCUUGCCGCGGUGGGUGGGGGUAGAGCUCGAACAAGGUUCAGCUCAUCAUACUGCUGUUCUCGUCGAGCUUCUUCGCAACACCGCUCUCCCACCCCACCACACUAACAGCGCAUAGAAGUAUAGGGGGAGGGACGGAUACACCUGCUAGGACUGAAGAGUAGAGAGGGAAUCACACCACCUCCAAGAAAACGAGGCCAACGUAUAUAUAUAUAUAUAAUGCGUGCACUGCGAUGCUCGCGCCAAGGUACCUGCCAGCUCACGCGCCACGUUCUCGGUGCCCCACGCGUACGCUGGACCGGGUGAAAUCCAGGCUGCGAACAAGUCCCUCGAGAUAUGAGGGAACCCAAACGACUAGAAGACACAAGGCUCUCUAGUGAAGAACGAAAAAAAAAACAUAAAACAGGUUUAAACGAGCUAAUCAGCUAUUGAAGCGGCAUGAAUACCCUCUCCUCGGCGCAUUGUGGUGUUUGAGAAGGGCGUGGCCCUAACGCUCGCAUGCAUCGUAGCCUUUCGCUCCCCUCUAUCUCUCGUCAAAACCUCUGCCGCCAUUUUUCCUUUUCUGUCAUGCACACCUCUGCUCGGCGCUGAAUCGCCACCUAUUCUGACCAAAAACAUCAUACUCUCCCCUCGAG
RNAcentral lists this unclassified non-coding RNA (5578 nucleotides) under Leishmania donovani. RNAcentral describes it as "gene:LdHU3.30.3300(CDS-product:hypothetical_prote in_conserved)". The record is from RNAcentral. Lineage: Eukaryota; Euglenozoa; Kinetoplastea; Trypanosomatida; Trypanosomatidae.